Molecule: non-coding RNA, 1716 nt
Organism: Nicotiana tabacum (common tobacco)
Lineage: Eukaryota; Viridiplantae; Streptophyta; Magnoliopsida; Solanales; Solanaceae
Source: RefSeq, a predicted model, not a curated record
CGGACCUUUCUUCCCCGUAAAAGGGGAGGGAAAAAAGGGGGCGCGACAGUAGGAUGUUUUCGGUAUUUAACCAGAUUGGCCAAAGUCGAUUUCUCUCUUCAGCACCUUCUCAACUUAUUUGUUUCGAAGUCGUUCAAAGGCAGCUUAGUCUCGAUUGUCAGUCAUGCCAUAAGGACUCUCGUGGAUGCAAAAGAUGAUCACAAUAGGGGUUGGCGCGAUCAAUUUGUAGCGAUUCCCAUGUGGGAAUUGGUAUCUCUUGAAGAUGGACCAGUUCUAGAGAGAUGGAGUUAUGAUCAUAGAUCUUCCUGUUUCAAUUAUGACUAUUUUCGUUGUUCCCUUAUGUCGUUAUUCCUUUGUCGCAACUAUUCUAUGUGCUCCAACUGAAGUGCCCAGAUUUAGGAAUGGGUCGAGAAGAUUCUGUCCUCUUCUUCGAUGCUUGAGAGAACCUGGAGGCACAUAUCUGAGGUCUCAUGGAGGAGAGGUAAGAGUUAUGUUAAUUCAGGAGAGGAGACCCCCGUUCUUUUGUCCGUGGAGGCUAGGGAGGUGUGGUGGCAAAAGCUGCAGCAGACGUGAUUCCAAACAAGGGCUUGCCAAUAGGGCAGAUUGUUUUUUCCCAGGGAAGGGCUACAAUGCCUCUAAGCGAACAAGUAAUCCCGCCUAUCUGGAUAGUCCUCCCAUCGAAGAAGAGAGUUCUCGGGAAGGGUCUAAUGAGGCAUUUGUGGUUAGCUCGACCGUGACUGCCCUAUCGGUUUUGUGACUGAAACUGUUGAUAUACAUCUUAUCAGCUUUUGGGUGCCAAACGGGGUUGAAACAUUUAAGAAGAUGAGACACGUUACCACUUUCUCCCUCAGUUGGCAAGCCCCCAAGACUGGAAGCACAUGGAAUCACUACAUGCUGAAGCCUUAGUGACUCAAAUGGAUAUGAGACCACAAGGCUAGCAAUACUUACUUUGGGUGCACUAAAAGAUUUCGAGGGGAUGUUGCCAUACCCAAGGUGGUAGUAAAGUACGACCAAGCGCUGAAGGCUGAGAACGAGAAUCUCUAGAAGGCGAGGAGUCAUUCCUAAGAAGGACCGAGGUUACGGGAGAGAAGCGUCGAGAAAAGGAUAGCUAAGGUUUUGAAAGUUAAGGCAGCUCAACUGGCCGAGGACAACAAGGCCCAUGAUAUGCUUUAUGCUCUUUAAGCCGAUUUAGCGUUGAAGGCCAACAAGGAGGUCUGACAAAGGAAGAGUGUUCUUAUUUGUCAGCGGAGGUACAAGGACUGAGGUCGUAAUUGGCCCUGACGGAGGAGGUUGCCCGGGCCAAUAAUGCUAAUUGGGAGACCCUCCAAGUAGCCUUAGAGGACCUAUAGAGAGAUGUGGUUGUCAAACGGGCCUGGACCAUUAUGGAGACCCGCCUACACACUCUUCAUGAGGUGCGUACAAGUGCAAUAUUAAUUAGAGGUUCCUCACUUUGAAGAAGAAGCGAGUGAUCUCAGUCGACGACUCGGCCUUCCAUCUCUAGACAUGUAAGUGCCUUCUUCCGAAGAAGACGAAGGUGAGGAUUGUUUUAACGAAGUAGAGGAGGUAGCUCCUGCCCUCGAACCGUCAACUUUCUCUAGUGCUGUUGAUCUGAAUGCUCCUUCUACUUCUGGUGCGAAGGCUGAUGAUUAUCUGUAGGUUUGGGUCUUUGCACUUUUGUGCCCCUUUUUGUGUUCUUUAUUUAUGGCUCUUUGCGUA